Molecule: ribosomal RNA, 483 nt
Filed under: uncultured bacterium
Lineage: Bacteria
Description: partial 16S ribosomal RNA
Rfam family: Bacterial small subunit ribosomal RNA
Source: RNAcentral
GACGAACGCUGGCGGCGUGCUUAACACAUGCAAGUCGAACGAUGAUGCCGUGCUUGCACGGUUGAUUAGUGGCGAACGGGUGAGUAACACGUGAGUAACCUGCCCCUCACUUUGGGAUAACUCCGGGAAACCGGGGCUAAUACUGGAUAUGAGCCUUCCUCGCAUGGGGUUGGUUGGAAAGGGUUUCUGGUGGGGGAUGGGCUCGCGGCCUAUCAGCUUGUUGGUGGGGUGAUGGCCUACCAAGGCUUCGACGGGUAGCCGGCCUGAGAGGGCGACCGGCCACAUUGGGACUGAGAUACGGCCCAGACUCCUACGGGAGGCAGCAGUGGGGAAUAUUGCACAAUGGGCGAAAGCCUGAUGCAGCGACGCCGCGUGAGGGAUGGAGGCCUCCGGGUUGUAAACCUCUUUCGGCAGGGAAGAAGCGUUAAGUGACGGUACCUGCAGAAGAAGGGCCGGCUAACUACGUGCCAGCAGCCGCAGUAA